UAACAUCUAAUUUGAUGUAUUUAUAUUUAUUAUAUAGUCAUAUAUCUUAAUUUUACUUGUGUCUACCAAUAUCUACUCAUUUUAUAAACCUGUAAAUUUUUCAAACAAAUUUUCAUAGCGCCUCUUUUCCUCUAACCUUGACCUUGACCUUGAAUGUGACCACAAAUGCGGCUAUGACCGUGAUUUAAAACUAUGAUUUAUAGGCUAAGUCGUCUAUAUUAGCUUUCUAUUAUGCAUGUACAGUUCAGCAGAUUGGAUCUUUUACCUUGACACUUGUUGCCCUUUAUUUUGUAAUUUAUUAUGCAAUUUGUUUGGUUCUAGGAUG
RNAcentral lists this unclassified non-coding RNA (325 nucleotides) under Hevea brasiliensis (rubber tree). Lineage: Eukaryota; Viridiplantae; Streptophyta; Magnoliopsida; Malpighiales; Euphorbiaceae. The record is from RNAcentral.